RNAcentral lists this ribosomal RNA (492 nucleotides) under uncultured bacterium. RNAcentral describes it as "partial 16S ribosomal RNA". It matches the Rfam family "Bacterial small subunit ribosomal RNA", at positions 38 to 507 of the family's 1533-position model. The record is from RNAcentral.
GGGGGGGGGCGGGGGGGGGGCGGGCGCGGGGUAGGCGGGCGGCGGUACAGUAAGAGCUUGCUCUUACGGGUGGCGAGUGGCGGACGGGUGGGGAAUACAUCGGACUCGACUUUUGCGUGGGGGAUAACGUAGGGAAAUGGGCGCUAAUACCGCAUACGACCGACGGGUGAAAGCAGGGGAUCUUCUGACCUUGCGCGAUUGAAUGAGGCGAUGUCGGAUUAGCUUGUUGGCGGGGUAUAGGCCCACCACGGCGACGACGCGUAGCUGGUCUGAGAGGAUGAUCAGCCAAACUGAAACUGAGACACGGUAAAGACUCCUACGAGAGGCAGCAGAGGGGAAUAUUGGACAAUGGGCGCAAGCAUGCUCCAGCCAUACCGCGUGGGUGAAGAAGGCCUUCGGGUUGUAAAGCCCUUUUGUUGGGAAAGAAAAGCAGCAGGUUAAUACACCGCUGUUCUGACGGUACCCAAAGAAUAAGCACCGGCUAACUUCGUG